GAUGAACGCUGGCGGCGUGCCUAAUACAUGCAAGUCGAGCGAACAGACGAGGAGCUUGCUCCUCUGACGUUAGCGGCGGACGGGUGAGUAACACGUGGAUAACCCACCUAUAAGACUGGGAUAACUUCGGGAAACCGGAGCUAAUACCGGAUAAUAUAUUGAACCGCAUGGUUCAAUAGUGAAAGACGGUUUUGCUGUCACUUAUAGAUGGAUCCGCGCCGCAUUAGCUAGUUGGUAAGGUAACGGCUUACCAAGGCAACGAUGCGUAGCCGACCUGAGAGGGUGAUCGGCCACACUGGAACUGAGACACGGUCCAGACUCCUACGGGAGGCAGCAGUAGGGAAUCUUCCGCAAUGGGCGAAAGCCUGACGGAGCAACGCCGCGUGAGUGAUGAAGGUCUUCGGAUCGUAAAACUCUGUUAUUAGGGAAGAACAAAUGUGUAAGUAACCAUGCACGUCUUGACGGUACCUAAUCAGAAAGCCACGGCUAACUACGUG
This 497-nucleotide ribosomal RNA is filed under the name uncultured bacterium. RNAcentral's name for it is "partial 16S ribosomal RNA". It matches the Rfam family "Bacterial small subunit ribosomal RNA", at positions 28 to 507 of the family's 1533-position model. The record is from RNAcentral.